This 265-nucleotide ribosomal RNA is filed under the name uncultured archaeon. RNAcentral's name for it is "partial 16S ribosomal RNA". It matches the Rfam family "Archaeal small subunit ribosomal RNA", at positions 716 to 982 of the family's 1478-position model. The record is from RNAcentral.
AGUCACUGACAUUAGAUACCCGCGUAGUCCCAGCCGUAAACUAUGCGCGUUAGGUGUACUGGUGACCACGAGUCACCGGGGUGCCGAAGGGAAACCGUGAAACGUGCCGCCUGGGAAGUACGGUCGCAAGGCUGAAACUUAAAGGAAUUGGCGGGGGAGCACCGCAACGGGAGGAGCGUGCGGUUUAAUUGGAUUCAACACCGUAAAACUCACCAGGGAAGACUGUUACAUGAAGGCCGAGAUGAAGACUCUGCUAGAUUUUCAG